Molecule: long non-coding RNA, 1715 nt
Organism: Dalotia coriaria
Lineage: Eukaryota; Metazoa; Arthropoda; Insecta; Coleoptera; Staphylinidae
Exons: 5
Source: RefSeq, a predicted model, not a curated record
AUGCUCGUGUUGCAAUUCUGAAUAUUGCCGUGUGCCUAACACCCUGCUUUUCAGGGUCUUGCGAAUUGUGGUUUAUUAAAUUUCGGUCCCGGGAUGAAUUGGACAUUUCUCGCAGUCAUGUUGAUUUUCUUCAUCAGGAGGACUCUCCGUGACUUGUGUACGCCAUGUCUUAGCAGUUGAUGGAAAAUCCAUUGUUCUUGGGAGCGACCUCUUAAGAACAUCAGAACCGUUUUUAAAGAGGGGCUGUUAAAUUCAUUUUCGGAUUCUAGUCUACUUUGCCGUAAGAAGCAGUACCAAGGUGGAUGUGGAAACGGCCUAUUAAUCUGCACGGGCCUACCGCACUUAUUAUCCUAUGAAGUUUUUAUUGAAAAUCAGUAGCAGUUCAUAACAAUAAGCAUCUUUUGGUUUCUUCAGAACGCACUAGGAUUUUCGGACUUGUUUCAAAUUGUAAGUGGUAGAAUUUAAUGUUUUUCUAAUUUUUUUACGCAGAUUAUGGUACCGGAGAAAAUGAUUUAUCGCCUUGUAUUGGAGAGAGUUUUGUCGAAAAUAUAACAAGCCGUAAAAGAAAGCAUCUUUAGGUUUCUUUACAACGUGUUCUCAGGACACUGCCUGAUUUUUCCCAAAAUGUUUAACGCGGCGUCGUUCAUGAAAAGCAGCACCGAGGAUGAACCUACCGAACGCUGCCUCUGAAGCAUGGGAAAAAAGAAAGACCAAGUACUUCUUGACUUGAUUUGUCAGAGAUGUGAAACCAGGUCCAAAAUCCAACCAAUUGUGCAGGAUAAGACUCGACGAAACUGAACAAGAACUAAAGAAUUGUUACCUGCGCUUUUAAGAAUAUUUGUUUAUAUAAUAUUGAAACUUGAUUGAAAAUUUAAUGCUGCUGGCAAAUUUAGAUUUACCACGCACUUUAUUUCAAAAUGCAGCCCAAGAUUUCAUUACAAAUUGUUGUUGCAAUAUAUGUUAGAUUGUAAUGCUAUUGCGUAACAUGUCAUAUUGCAUUGCCUUGCGAUAUAAGUUACAUUGCAUUGUUUUUACUAUAGUUAUAUUCAAUUCUACUCCGGGUAUAAAAUUGAAUUAUAUAAAAAAAAGCACCCGACGAAAUCUUUACUUUAUAUUUAUAUUUUAUUCUAUAUUUUAAGCUUUAGUUAUUCUUUAGUUUGACUGAGAUAAGCAACAUAAAACUUUAGUUAUAAAUUUAAUUUGGACUAAAAUGAACAGAAUUCGGCUGAUUUUGAUUCUGUGCACAAAAUGCUACAAUAAUUUUAAACUUGUUUUAGUCUGUAGAUAUAUUGCACAAAUUUGUAUUGUCAAAUUAAUGUGUGUUAUGUUUUGAUUCGAUACCGUCAUGUUGCAGUUAGUGUUAAAUGUCAUUUAAUGCACAUGAAAGCAGUGUUCCUAUGAAUGCAUGACUACCUGAUAAAUUUGAUUAUCAAGUGCAAAUUGUUAGUUUGCAUUUACUCUUUGCUUUGUUAAGUGCAGCAUUGAAGUACAGCACUGUAAAUAGUCAAUUCAAAAUAACAUUUUACAUCUCAUCAACAAGUUUAUUAGGUAGCCAUUUACUGCUAUGGACGUGUUGUCAUGUGUCGCAAAUAGCGUUUAUCAUUAACUACAAUAUGACACUUUUUAUGGCAUCCGGUUCAGAAUCGGCACUUAUAUUUGCUUGCUACAAGUCGAAACAAGUCGUAAAUUUUUAACUUAUAAAUGUAUUUUCACUG